GACGAACGCUGGCGGCGUGCCUAAUACAUGCAAGUUGAGCGAUGAAGAUUGGUGCUUGCACCAAUUUGAAGAGCAGCGAACGGGUGAGUAACGCGUGGGGAAUCUGCCUUUGAGCGGGGGACAACAUUUGGAAACGAAUGCUAAUACCGCAUAAUAACUUUAAACAUAAGUUUUAAGUUUGAAAGAUGCAAUUGCAUCACUCAAAGAUGAUCCCGCGUUGUAUUAGCUAGUUGGUGAGGUAAAGGCUCACCAAGGCGAUGAUACAUAGCCGACCUGAGAGGGUGAUCGGCCACAUUGGGACUGAGACCCGGCCCAAACUCCUACGGGAGGCAGCAGUAGGGAAUCUUCGGCAAUGGACGAAAGUCUGACCGAGCAACGCCGCGUGAGUGAAGAAGGUUUUCGGAUCGUAAAACUCUGUUGGUAGAGAAGAACGUUGGUGAGAGUGGAAAGCUCAUCAAGUGACGGUAACUACCCAGAAAGGGACGGCUAACUACGUG
RNAcentral lists this ribosomal RNA (497 nucleotides) under uncultured bacterium. Its description in RNAcentral is "partial 16S ribosomal RNA". It matches the Rfam family "Bacterial small subunit ribosomal RNA", at positions 28 to 507 of the family's 1533-position model. The record is from RNAcentral.